GAUGAACGCUGGCGGCGUGCCUAAUACAUGCAAGUCGAGCGAACAGACGAGGAGCUUGCUCCUCUAACGUUAGCGGCGGACGGGUGAGUAACACGUGGAUAACCUACCUAUAAGACUGGGAUAACUUCGGGAAACCGGAGCUAAUACCGGAUAAUAUAUUGAAUCGCAUGGUUCAAUAGUGAAAGACGGUUUUGCUGUCACUUAUAGAUGGAUCCGCGCCGCAUUAGCUAGUUGGUAAGGUAACAGCUUACCAAGGCAACGAUGCGUAGCCGACCUGAGAGGGUGAUCGGCCACACUGGAACUGAGACACGGUCCAGACUCCUACGGGAGGCAGCAGUAGGGAAUCUUCCGCAAUGGGCGAAAGCCUGACGGAGCAACGCCGCGUGAGUGAUGAAGGUCUUCGGAUCGUAAAACUCUGUUAUUAGGGAAGAACAGAUGUGUAAGUAACUAUGCACGUCUUGACGGUACCUAAUCAGAAAGCCACGGCUAACUACGUGCCAGCAGCCGCGGUAAUACGUAGGUGGCAAGCGUUAUCCGGAAUUAUUGGGCGUAAAGCGCGCGUAGGCGGUUUUUUAAGUCUGAUGUGAAAGCCCACGGCUCAACCGUGGAGGGUCAUUGGAAACUGGAAAACUUGAGUGCAGAAGAGGAAAGUGGAACUCCAUGUGUAGCGGUGAAAUGCGCAGAGAUAUGGAGGAACACCAGUGGCGAAGGCGACUUUCUGGUCUGUAACUGACGCUGAUGUGCGAAAGCGUGGGGAUCAAACAGGAUUAGAUACCCUGGUAGUCCACGCCGUAAACGAUGAGUGCUAAGUGUUAAGGGGUUUCCGCCCCUUAGUGCUGCAGCUAACGCAUUAAGCACUCCGCCUGGGGAGUACGACCGCAAGGUUGAAACUCAAAGGAAUUGACGGGGACCCGCACAAGCGGUGGAGCAUGUGGUUUAAUUCGAAGCAACGCGAAGAACCUUACCAAAUCUUGACAUCCUCUGACCCCUCUAGAGAUAGAGUUUUCCCCUUCGGGGGACAGAGUGACAGGUGGUGCAUGGUUGUCGUCAGCUCGUGUCGUGAGAUGUUGGGUUAAGUCCCGCAACGAGCGCAACCCUUAAGCUUAGUUGCCAUCAUUAAGUUGGGCACUCUAAGUUGACUGCCGGUGACAAACCGGAGGAAGGUGGGGAUGACGUCAAAUCAUCAUGCCCCUUAUGAUUUGGGCUACACACGUGCUACAAUGGACAAUACAAAGGGUAGCGAAACCGCGAGGUCAAGCAAAUCCCAUAAAGUUGUUCUCAGUUCGGAUUGUAGUCUGCAACUCGACUAUAUGAAGCUGGAAUCGCUAGUAAUCGUAGAUCAGCAUGCUACGGUGAAUACGUUCCCGGGUCU
Molecule: ribosomal RNA, 1372 nt
Filed under: uncultured bacterium
Lineage: Bacteria
Description: bacterial SSU rRNA
Rfam family: Bacterial small subunit ribosomal RNA
Source: RNAcentral